RNAcentral lists this ribosomal RNA (274 nucleotides) under uncultured bacterium. Its description in RNAcentral is "partial 16S ribosomal RNA". It matches the Rfam family "Bacterial small subunit ribosomal RNA", at positions 523 to 796 of the family's 1533-position model. The record is from RNAcentral.
AUACGGAGGGGGCUAGCGUUGUUCGGAAUUACUGGGCGUAAAGCGCGCGUAGGCGGUUUUUCAAGUUGGGGGUGAAAUCCCGAGGCUUAACCUCGGAACUGCCUUCAAAACUGCCAGUCUAGAGUCCGGGAGAGGUGAGUGGAAUUCCUAGUGUAGAGGUGAAAUUCGUAGAUAUUAGGAAGAACACCAGUGGCGAAGGCGGCUCACUGGCCCGGUACUGACGCUGAGGCGCGAAAGCGUGGGGAGCAAACAGGAUUAGAUACCCCGGUAGUCC